GAAAGGGAAAACAACACUCACUAAUAUCUUCCUACAAUGAGAUUGCUUCGAAAGGCUUUGGACAAAUGUUGAAGGAAGAAAAAUAUAAUUAAUGUAUAUCUCUGACUCUUUAAACAUAAUCUAAUACUGAGAAAGUUUGGUCAAAUCAGAAACUUUACCAAUCUAUGAAAAUAAAUUCAGUGAUAUUCAGAACCAUCAACCAAACUCAAAAGAGAUGGGAUCUCACACUGUCUCCAGGCUGGAGUGUAAUGGCAGGAUCACAGCUUGCUGUAGCCCCAAAUUCCUGGGCUCAAGGGAUCCUCCCACCUCAGCAUUCCAAGUCGCCGGAACUACAGGCUCUUUGGUUUCAUAUGUCA
Microcebus murinus (gray mouse lemur) is the source of this 356-nucleotide non-coding RNA. The record is from RefSeq and is a predicted model, not a curated record. NCBI's taxonomy places the organism in Eukaryota, Metazoa, Chordata, Mammalia, Primates, Cheirogaleidae.